GACGAACGCUGGCGGCGUGCUUAACACAUGCAAGUCGAACGAUGAAGAAAAGAAUCGAAGCUUCGGCAGAAAUUCAUUUCGGAUUAGUGGCAGACGGGUGAGUAACGCGUGAGCAACCUACCUCUUUCAAAGGGAUAGCCUCGGGAAACCGGGAUUAAUACCAUAUAACAUUGCGACGAAGCAUUUCGAUGCAAUCAAAGCUACGGCGGUAAGAGAUGGGCUCGCGUCCCAUUAACCGGAUGGUGAGGUAACGGCUCACCAUAGUGACGAUGGGUAACCGGCCUGAGAGGGUGAACGGUCACACUGGAACUGAGACACGGUCCAGACUCCUACGGGAGGCAGCAGUGGGGAAUAUUGCACAAUGGAGGGAACUCUGAUGCAGCGACGCCGCGUGAGUGAUGAAGGAAUUCGUUUCGUAAAACUCUGUUCUAUGGGAAGAAAAGGACUGUACCAUAGGAGAAAGCUCCGGCUAAAUACGUG
RNAcentral lists this ribosomal RNA (480 nucleotides) under uncultured bacterium. RNAcentral's name for it is "partial 16S ribosomal RNA". It matches the Rfam family "Bacterial small subunit ribosomal RNA", at positions 28 to 507 of the family's 1533-position model. The record is from RNAcentral.